Molecule: ribosomal RNA, 433 nt
Filed under: uncultured bacterium
Lineage: Bacteria
Description: partial 16S ribosomal RNA
Rfam family: Bacterial small subunit ribosomal RNA
Source: RNAcentral
GCGAACGCUGGCGGCAGGCCUCACACAUGCAAGUCGAACGAACCUUUCGGGGUUAGUAGCGGACGGGUGAGUAACACGUGGGAACGUGCCUUUAGGUUCGGAAUAACUCAGGGAAACUUGUGCUAAUACCGAAUGUGCCCUUCGGGGGAAAGAUUUAUCGCCUUUAGAGCGGCCCGCGUCUGAUUAGCUAGUUGGUUGAGGUAAUGGCUCACCAAGGCGACGAUCAGUAGCUGGUCUGAGAGGAUGAUCAGCCACAUUGGGACUGAGACACGGCCCAAACUCCUACGGGAGGCAGCAGUGGGGAAUCUUGCGCAAUGGGCGAAAGCCUGACGCAGCCAUGCCGCGUGAAUGAUGAAGGUCUUAGGAUUGUAAAAUUCUUUCACCGGGGACGAUAAUGACGGUACCCGGAGAAGAAGCCCCGGCUAACUUCGUG